AACAACUAGCCUCCUCCCCACCCACAGCAGCCCAACAACUAGCCUCCUCCCCACCCACAGCCGCCCCCACAGAGGAACCCUCCAAGCCCGGAAACUGCGACGUCGACUGUUCCCAGGGGCAGUACCACCCACAUCCCAGCGACUGCCACAUGUUCAUCCAGUGCACCCCGUACGGCCCCCAGGAGAUGCCCUGCGCCCCGGGAACCGUGUGGGACCAGGACCUCUUGACCUGCAACCACGAGGCCACGACCCCCUGUGUCAUCGCCGAACCCUGUGUCUAAAGUCAUGACAAGCAGUGCCGCAGAGGAGACGGAAGAUAUGCCGUCGAAGGAAAGAAGACCGAAUAUUACCUCUGCCACUCCGGAGUAUCCUUCCUCCUUCGUUGUCCCGAUGAAGGAACCUUUAAUCCUCAUACUACAUCCUGUGUCUAUGAGGACCGCACUGCCAUCGGGAAGGUAGUCGCUUAGAGGGAGAGAAGCGGUGUAGGUUGUGUAAGAACAUAUGUCAGAGUUAAAUAAAGUGUAAUUUGAAA
Non-coding RNA from Penaeus vannamei (Pacific white shrimp), 532 nucleotides. The record is from RefSeq and is a predicted model, not a curated record. Lineage: Eukaryota; Metazoa; Arthropoda; Malacostraca; Decapoda; Penaeidae.